UACGGGGGGGGCAAGCGUUGUUCGGAAUUACUGGGCGUAAAGGGCUCGUAGGCGGCCAACUAAGUCAAACGUGAAAUCCCUGGGCUUAACCUGGGAACUGCAGUCGAUACUGGUGAACUAGAAUGCGGUAGAGGGUGGCGGAACUCCGGGUGUAGCGGUGAAAUGCGUAGAUAUCCGGAAGAACACCGAUGGCGAAGGCAACCACCUGGGCCUGCAUUGACGCUGAGG
RNAcentral lists this ribosomal RNA (228 nucleotides) under uncultured prokaryote. RNAcentral describes it as "partial 16S ribosomal RNA". It matches the Rfam family "Bacterial small subunit ribosomal RNA", at positions 524 to 751 of the family's 1533-position model. The record is from RNAcentral.